AAACACUGACAGUUAAUUAAGGUAUUACAGCACGUUUAGGUCCAACGUUUUGGUCAAUAUAUAUGUAGCCUGGUGGUAAAUUGGUUCAGAUGUAAUUUUCCACUUAGGUGAGGUAUAGCUCUCAAAGUUGUUUGAAUGUUAAUACAUGUGUUCUUUGUUGUUUUCUUCUGAGUUUAAAAUUGUUUCAGUCUAAUUAACAUUUGAGGCAAAUUGUAAGUGUCACAGUCUCACUUGUUAUUGCUGAUUUUGGUCACAAGGUGGCAGCGUUGAGUAAUAUUACUGUCACUCUGCCAAAUGCAUCUUGGUCUUUCUUCCUGUUUUACGUUCAAACAACAGGAGAUUUGCAGAGUGGGCGGUGCUGUGACUCCGUCGUGUAAAGUAGUAGACACUAGUGGAGUUCAUGACCUGGGAUUUUGCCACCAGCCGUCGGCCACUGUGUUCUCAAUUGCACAGCAAGAUGUAGGAGGGACGAUCAUCUAGAUGACAAGUGCUGUGACACUUCAGCUCUGCCCGAACACAGACAGGAGGAAGACCUCAGUGAUGAAGCCUGACUCUGCAACACUGAAGCUUCACCACUAGAGGACAGUGAAACAUCAGAGAUACUGAAGCUUAUUGGACUCACACACUGAAGGAGAGCGAUGUAAGAAAUACCACCUGCUGGACUGCAGCUGCUGAGACAUUUCAGCUCUGCCUCGGUAUAAGACUGAUGGACUGUUAUUGUGAUCACCUGCACCUGGAGAGCUGCAUAUGUGAGGAAGGACACAAAAUGUCAUUAGUUACCGGAGCUGAACCCGACCUGCAUACUGGGAGUCUUCACUAAGGUCCUCAGGCUAUGAGGAAUUCUGCCACUGAUGACGACGUUCAUG
This is a long non-coding RNA of Thunnus maccoyii (southern bluefin tuna), 866 nucleotides long. RefSeq lists it as uncharacterized. The record is from RefSeq and is a predicted model, not a curated record. NCBI's taxonomy places the organism in Eukaryota, Metazoa, Chordata, Actinopteri, Scombriformes, Scombridae. The transcript has 5 exons.